Small nuclear RNA from Suncus etruscus (white-toothed pygmy shrew), 165 nucleotides. RefSeq annotates it as U1 spliceosomal RNA. NCBI's taxonomy places the organism in Eukaryota, Metazoa, Chordata, Mammalia, Eulipotyphla, Soricidae. The transcript has a single exon. The record is from RefSeq and is a predicted model, not a curated record.
AUACUUACCUGUCAGAUCAUAAUACCAUGAUCACAAAGGUGGUUUUCCCAGGGUGAGUAUUACCCAUUGCAAUCCAGAUGUGCUAACCUCUGCAAUUUCCCCAAAUGUGGGAAACUCAACUGCAUAAUUUGUGGUAUUGGGGGACUGUGUUUGCGCUCUCCCCUU